CGAGCCUCCCGGAUUUAAAGCGGCAGGAGCUGGUAAUCCACCCGCCUUGGCCUCCCAAAGUGCUGGGAUUACAGGUGUGAGCCACCAUGCCCAGCCAGAAACUGCCACUUUUAAACCAUCAGAUCUCAUUGAGAACUCCCUCACUAUCACGAGAACCGCAUGAGGGAAACCACCCCCAUGAUCUGAUCACCUCCCACCAGGUCCUGCCCUCAACAUGUGGGGAUUACAAUUCAAGAUGAGAUUUGGGUCAGGAAACAGAGCCAAACCAUAUCAAGAGCCUCUGGUAACCACUGUUCUACUCAAUACUUCUAUGAGGUGAACUUCUUUGGAUUCCACAUAUGAUCAAGAUCAUGAGGAAGGAGGAGCAAGUCUUCUUUGUCAUGCUAUUAAGAAAAUACCCAGAGUCACAGCACCAUGAUCUCCUUGUGAAGCAGAACAAGUAAUAUAAAACUGAUCUAAAGAGGCCUCCCCUCUACUCUUAUCUGUCUGGUCGAGUCAUUUGGGUCCAAGUGGGCACCAUUGUGGGAGGGUGGGAGGACUCAUCACUGGGGGCCCAGGCAUCAUUGGCAUGUGGCCUCCUGUGUUAGUUUGUUCUCAUGCUGCAAAUAAAGACAACUUGAGACUGGAUAAUU
Molecule: long non-coding RNA, 632 nt
Filed under: Homo sapiens (human)
Lineage: Eukaryota; Metazoa; Chordata; Mammalia; Primates; Hominidae
Description: HSALNT0315319
Source: RNAcentral